AGCAGUAGCCGCGGUAAUACGGAGGGUGCAAGCGUUAAUCGGGAUUACUGGGCGUAAAGCGCACGCAGGCGGUCUGACAAGUCAGAUGUGAAAUCCCCGGGCUUAACCUGGGAACUGCAUUUGAAACUGUCAGGCUGGAGUCUUGUAGAGGGGGGUGGAAUUCCAGGUGUAGCGGUGAAAUGCGUAGAGAUCUGGAGGAAUACCGGUGGCGAAGGCGGCCCCCUGGACAAAGACUGACGCUCAGGUGCGAAAGCGUGGGGAGCAAACAGGAUUAGAUACCCCGGUAGUCCCUGUCUCUUAUAC
Molecule: ribosomal RNA, 303 nt
Filed under: uncultured bacterium
Lineage: Bacteria
Description: partial 16S ribosomal RNA
Rfam family: Bacterial small subunit ribosomal RNA
Source: RNAcentral